This is a long non-coding RNA of Polyodon spathula (Mississippi paddlefish), 1715 nucleotides long. RefSeq lists it as uncharacterized. The transcript is spliced from 3 exons. NCBI's taxonomy places the organism in Eukaryota, Metazoa, Chordata, Actinopteri, Acipenseriformes, Polyodontidae. The record is from RefSeq and is a predicted model, not a curated record.
AAUAAGAUAGUGGAGAUCGUUUAAGCAACUUGAAAUAAAUACUCUUCCUGCAUGUCAAACUGGGCGGUUUCCAGACAGAGGUUUGAAAGUUACACUGUGGUUUAGCAGCAACACGGAAUGAAUAGGAGGUAACACAAAAUAAGACCUCGCUGUGAGUGGGGACACAUUGGAAUACCAGUACGACGGACAGGACUGGAAGAAAUGACCAAUCAAGAGGAAGGAGAGACCCCAAAAGGAGGACUACCUUUCCCUCAUUGGAUCUGCCAGUCUUACAUCAGACCAGGCUAAAUAUACAAAAUGUGAACAGUGUGAAAUCCAAAGGUAAGCCUGUGUCUUGUGAAUAAUAGUUCAGUGGCAUGUGUGUUCGGUUUUCGAAGCAUGUAAGAAGGGUGAGGUAAGGCGGCGGCUAUGAUAAUAGCCCUUGCUAGAGGCUUUUAGAUAGACUGUGAAACAGGGUGCAGUAAAAAACAGAGCUGUAAAGAUGUAUAUCUGUACAUAGUCUAGUUCUAAGCCUUUUAUUCUUUAUUGCACAUAUUGUUUGUUUCCUUAGAAUGAAAGUCUCCCAGAUUUCUUGUUUCAUGUGUUAUAGACCAAACAAAGGCUGCUUUAAAGAACCUUGAUUUGAAAAUGACAUAAUUAUAGACUGCAGUGAAAUGUUACCUACCCAUGUGACAAAUCUUGUACUUGUGGUUCUGAGUUUUGGCAUUAAAUGCAAGAUUAAUGUCUCUUGCUUGUUUUAAUGUAAUCUUCUUUGACGCAGUUAGGAAUUCGUUAGAUGUCUUAAUAGAAUUCUCUUAGGGUUACUGAAUGAUGAAAGAUGUCACGCUUCAGAGAAUGGAGUUAUAAGCUCUGUACCUUAAGCCUUUUAGCUGCUGACACAUUUAUAAGGUUAUUUUGUUUUCAAGGAUUGUCUCAAAGCAAUUUUUUAAAUAAAAAACAGCCCAUUUUUGGCUGCAGGUUUGAUUUUUAUAUCUUACCAGAUGGGAACAUAUUUAGCUUUUGUCUGGAUGAAUAUAUACUGUAUUCCACAAAUACAAUUAUAUCUUUGUCCAGGCAUUUGCACUGCAAUAUCCCCUUAUAAAGCAGCUAUAUGACAGUCCAAUUUAAUUAGGAAAACCCCGGGGGGGCUUUUAUGGAUUUCUCUUGUUUCCACUGCAAAAUUGUUUGUAGGUCAGGGAAUAUUUAUAUUUUUAUAUAUAGAAGGUAUAUUUUUCACCGAAGGGAAAUUUGUGCAACCUGGACCUUUGCUGCCUCUCUACUGGGGCUGCAUGGUGUCUAUAUAGAAAGUUGUUCUCCUCACCGUGAUUGAUCCAAAACAACUCAUUUUAAAGCCAGACAAUUUGACAGCUUUCUUUGUUAUAGGAAUUUCUCUAUAUUCACAGAAAUGACAGAGAACGUUUUAUUUUUAUUGUUAAUAUGCAUUUCAUCAUUCAGUAGCACAAUGGGAUAGUGUGCUGCAUUCUAGGCUUUGCAUUGCUUGUUCUUAAAUGUGCUUAGAAAGUUUGUUCUUUAUAUGUGUUAACAUGUUUACAGUCCCUUAACAUCUACAGUUCUACAUUUAAGGGCUUGAGUAUAAAAAGUAAAAAAAAAAAAAAUGUACCGCAAAUAUUAUGGGUUGUCUGUAAAUUUGAAAGCUUAAUCAAUUUCCCCUUUAAUGCCUUGCUAAGCAUCUAGGCUGUUUUUUAAAAUAUACUACUGCCAUUUUCACAGUGACC